AGUGUUGGAUGGUUAGCUGCAGCAACAAGGCCAGAUUUGUUGCAUCAUGGACUCUUCAAUAGUUAAACCAUGCAUUUCCUUUGGCUUGGUGAGUUUCUUUGGUUAGAACCAUGAGUGACAAGGUUGUGCUGUUAGAGCUCUUUUGAGAUUGAUUUGGAACAGACCACAUUCAAAGGUUAUUGAUGCCAAAAUGUCAAGAUAACAUGGCAGGUGCACAAUGGGACUUGCUUGUAAUGGAAGAGACCAAGAAAAAUCAACAACACACAUGAAGAUUGGGUGAUGUAUUGAAGAAAAAGGCCAGGCCAAGUUGGAUGGGCAAGAGCAAGUGAAAGUUGACUUUGGUCAAAGUUGA
Molecule: long non-coding RNA, 352 nt
Filed under: Lathyrus oleraceus (garden pea)
Lineage: Eukaryota; Viridiplantae; Streptophyta; Magnoliopsida; Fabales; Fabaceae
Description: Pisum sativum (pea) long non-coding RNA (PSAT_LNC028819)
Source: RNAcentral